CUGUAAUCUCCGGGGGAGGUCCGACGUGCGGCGCUGCAUCAUUCUGGACCUUUUAAGGGAGACCAUGUCCAGCACAUCACUAAGCCUUUUCAACUGUGGGCCAGAAAAGAAGGCCCGGAGCGAGGCAAACAUCUUCAUAAAAAUAGCCCCCAGGAAGACCACUGGGCUAAUCCUCCAACGUUACGCUGCCAAGACGAACUAUAUCCUGUCGACACUUAACAUUCCCUCCGUGUCUAUUAAACAAGACAUCUCUAAGGAAUAGCGCACGCUGACCCGGAUUAGACCCUAUUUUUCAUUUUGUAGGAAGAUUACGCAAAGAGUUGAAUUAAAGCGCAACAGUGCUCAAGCUCAGCGGAUGACAAUCCUAAAAAAUCUUAAGACCUUAGUGUCAGCACCUCUGAAAAGUUCAACAAAUCGCGUGCCAUUUUUUAAUCCGUGUUAUGAAUCUUCGAUUUUUUUUAGCAUCAGUGACAGAUAACAGGUGCUUCUCGAUUAUACGUGACACCAAAAUGAAAAUCUGAUGAUAUUUGUAAUCCUCUGAUUUUGAUAGGUGAGGCCACUGCCAUCUGAUUGUCAGAUGAAAAAGGCCUUUAUUUGACCCCCACCUCGAUGGCACUCUUAUCUGAAUGUACUCAGGCUUUGUAAAUCCGCCAUCGGAUUUUGUUUGAAGUAUUUACACCGGCGGCUCCUUUCAAGGCGACGACUUGUGGGAGAGAGUGACUGUCGGACACAUUGACGUGGCACAAAGGCCUUGCCGACAGCUGGUUGGCAUGGCGAUGACAUCCUAAGUGGCAUCCAUUAGACAAAGUCCCGCUGUGGAGGUUAAAGACACAAGCGCGCCACCAAACCUCCCUCACCUCCCUCUGGGUACAGCUGGAGCGUCAACAAAUAGGGCAACGGUUAUGGGUGGGCGAAAAGAACCUUGCAUCUCUUCACGGAGGACCAGUCCGGGAAUCUUACCUGACCCAUUUUCCUCAAUUUUCACCAAAAUGAAUCAUGGCAUGAGGUUAGGCAGAUGGGUAUGUAGAUUGCGCAAUGUACAGUCCUGAGAGGUGGCUCAUGAGUUCUUAUCUUCUAUGAAGGUUAAAUAAAAUUUCAAACAUAUAAAGUCCCUCUAGUUAUUGUUGAUGGCCAGAUCAAUGCUUGUAUACAUAGUAGCCUAAAAUAAAUGUCUCCAUCACCCAAGGA
This is a long non-coding RNA of Syngnathus acus (greater pipefish), 1188 nucleotides long. RefSeq lists it as uncharacterized. Lineage: Eukaryota; Metazoa; Chordata; Actinopteri; Syngnathiformes; Syngnathidae. The transcript has 2 exons. The record is from RefSeq and is a predicted model, not a curated record.